CAGUUAUCGACUUUAUGACAUGCACGGGAAUAAAAUUCCGCCGCAGUUGGUCACUCAAGUUGGAGAUGCAUUCAUGAGAAUUCUCCAAGAGAUUCUCGAGGUCUUGAGCCAAAAUGGCUGGUACUAUGUCUCUUGCACUCGCUGCAGCAAAAAACUAGACAGAUCUGCCGCAUCUCUCCGCUGCAACCAAUGUGUUAAUCACAAUGUCACCAAUGUAGUAAAGUACCAUGUUGAAUUAUUGGUUGAUGAUGGGAAUAACUAUGCCACUUUUGUUGUGUUCGACAAGGAGAUGCUUAAGCUCGCUAAGCAAGAUGCAGCUGCUCUUCUUCUUGAUGAGGUUUUUAUUUCUUCCCACCAACAUCUCUCAACACUCUAACAAUCACUCAAACCUCUAACUACUGCAGGUUAAUAGUGGUGUCGACAAGAAACUCAAGGCAGAACUUGGAGGGACAGAUUUAGAUUUCCAUAUACGUGUCACUCCACACAAUUUCUCCCCAGACCACUGCACCUUCACCGUUUCCGCAGCCAGUGACAGUUUUAACACCGAGAGUUGCAACAUCAAUGAAACACCAUUUGUUGAAGGGAAGUGUGGGGACGCAUCCACUUCCGCUUCUGCCAGCAACACAUCUACGGCUGAUGUGAAAGGUGGACGCAUACACCCCCAUGAAUGAGAGUUUUUAAGCAAUGAAAACGUGAACCCAAACUCUGCUUGCGUUUCUUUAUAAUUUCUUAUAUUACUAUGCAUAUCCUAUUUCAUACUUUCCAGUUUUUCCUUAUUUUCAUGUUUUUUCAAAGCCAUUUACGGCUACAGACCUUA
Brassica oleracea var. oleracea is the source of this 817-nucleotide long non-coding RNA. RefSeq lists it as uncharacterized. NCBI's taxonomy places the organism in Eukaryota, Viridiplantae, Streptophyta, Magnoliopsida, Brassicales, Brassicaceae. The transcript has 4 exons. The record is from RefSeq and is a predicted model, not a curated record.